AACAUUCGAAUUUUCAACUUCCAAACCAAAGGGGAAGAUAAAAUACUACAGAUUUAGUUCAAGCGUAAAACAAGGGCUAGCUAGUUUUAUCAAGAAAACAAUAAAUUCCAAAGGCAAUGACAAAGACAAUGACAAAGGUAAUCUCAAAAUGGUAAGACCCUAAUAACUUCAAAAUCCACGCAUAAACCUCUUUUAUCUUAGGAUACAAAAGAGAUUGAAAGUCUUAAAACAAACAUUAUAAGAUUAACAAGAAAUUCACUGUCAAAGAACAUGACAGCUCACUCUUCAUCUUCUUCAUCUCCAUCUCCACCAGAUGCUUUCUUGGCAGCAGACUUCUGGUUCUUUCGCUUCACUCUACCAGGGCGUCCACCACCAAAGGGACUUGUGAGAGAGAAAUCAAUGUGCUUCUGCGAGUCCACCCUCACCAUGAAAGAUGGAAUAUUGACCACCUGCCUCCCAACCCUGUAGGACCAAGGGAAAUAUCAAUGAAAAAAAUCCAGAAUCCGACUGUAGCAUACCAAAACACAAAAUGUGAAGGCAGACCAGGUCAAAAUAGUUUUAUAUAUAUGAAAUGAAAGUUUUGACAAGCAAAUCUCAAGCUCUGAAAUCACAGGACCUUAGCAUGGAUGCGAAUUCCGCAGAAAAGAAGCCAAAACCAUUAUAACCAGAAAAAACAAGAAGAUGAAAAGAAAAUACUGUUCGAAAAAUAGGAGAUGCAAACAAUUGCAUUGAUUAUCUAACCCAAAUACAUCAGCUCAAUCAACAUAAGAAUUAGAAUUAUUAUACUUACCUAAUGUGCUUCUGUUUAAUGAGAACUCGGGCAUGGUGGAUCGACUUCGCCAUACCAGCCUUGAAAACAAGUGUCUGGAGGCGGCGCUCGAGAAAGUUCUCCACCGUAAGGGCCAACACGUAAUCCAGCUUGUUCUGGCUCUCCUCCAAAAGCCCAUACCUAUUCAUCCUCCUCAAAAGCGCCUCACCCUCAAAGAUGCGGCGAGAGUUCUUCUCAUCAAGGGUUAGAAGCAUUCUGGCAGCAUUACGAAUGCGACUCAAUGCAUACUGGACCCUCCAGAGUUCCCUCUUGGCACGGAGCCCGUACUCUCCGACGAGCUUCAGCUCAGCAUCCAAACGUUCCUUCUCAUAGGGACGCCUGGGUUUCUUAAAAGUUUUCCCGUCUAUAGAAAAAAAAAACAAAGAACACCAAGUUCACUAUUAUUAUUCGACUCAUCAAACCAAAAUCAAUAUGCAGAGCCCAAAUGAUAAGCACUAUGGGGUACAGAAAAUUGAAAGCUAAAUUUCAAAACUCUCAGUAAAACAAUACGCAUCAGAUUUUCCGUCUUUCAUCACUUCAUAAUUUGCAAACAGCAGAAGAUAGAAAAAUAAGCUAAAAUAAGUUGAAACUCGACAGAAACACCUCAUAAGAUUAAGAAAUUGGACUGAAAAUUAAAAGAAAGAUAGAUCGGUAGCUUACAGUUACGAUAGAAGGAGACGUGCACCAUGCUUGUAGACUGCCGCCUGCGAACUUAGGGUUUAGGGUGGCGAUUGACAAGGAUAGAACAUGUAUUUAUAUCCCCAUAUACCCUAACUUAUUUGGGCUGGUGUUAUAACCAAUUGGGCUAAAGCCUCAAACCUCUUUCUUUUGCUUUUGUUUUACUGUUUUUUCUCAGUAUUUACUGGACCGCUUCAAGCUAGCUAGCUUUAACUAAGUUAAAUUUUUUUCUAAAUAAAAUAAAAAUGAUAAUAGUGAUUUUAAAGGGGUCAAAAAAAUAGGGUUCGGAUAAGAUAAUUGUUUCAGUUCCAUAAGUCUAAUUAAUUUAAUAAUAUAAUUAUAAAAAAAUAAAUACAUUUUAAUAUUAUGAAAAAUGUCCUCUGAAUAAUCUAAAAGGUCAUAAUAAUAUUAUUUGAUAAAAAAAUAAAAAUGAAAUGAGAACGGAAUAACCUUAGAAAAAAAAAGAAUAAAAAAGGUCUUAAUUAUUAAUAAAUUAAAUGUUAAAGGAUGAAUUGAAGAGAAAAAUCAAUUGUAAAAAAGGAUAAAAAUAUAUGACUCAAGUCAGCAUGCUGAAUUCGUGGUUUAAUUGUGAGGUUAAGACAACCUUGCACAAAAAAAAUUGAAUAAAACAAUGAAAGGCGAAACUGAAAAAAAAAUUAAAAAAAACAUGAGUUAACUCGAGUUAACUUAAUUAACCCAUGACUUAGAAUAUGAGAUCGAAAUAACUCUAUAGGAAAAAAAAAGUGAAAAAAAUCACGAAGCUAAAGGUCCAAUAACAUAAUGUUAAAUGAUGAAAAUAAAAAAAACUAUUUUUUUAUAAAAAAAAACCUAAAAAGGACUGAAGUCAAAUCAAAUUAAUCUUCAAAACCUAUAACUCGGGUCAUGAGACUAGGUUACCCCAUAGAAUGCAAAACCAAAAAAAAUCACAAAGCACAAUUUCCAGUCAUCUAACAAAAUAGAUAGCAAUCGAAAUAAUAAGGAUCAAAUUUGGUAUAAAAAUUAAAUUAAAUAAAAGAAUGAGGGAUGAAAUUAAAAAAUAAAAUAAAUCAAGAAAAGGAUACAAAAAAAUGAAAUUAAGAGAAUGAAGACCAAAAUUGGUAUAAAUUAAAUGAAAUAAAGUAAUGAGGGAUUGGACCAAAUCCGGUAUAAAUUUAAAUGAAACAAAGUAAUGAGGGAUGAACUUGAGAAAUAAAAUAAAUCAAGAUAAGGAUAGAAAACCAAGAAAUAACAAUCGAGAUAAUGAAGACCAAAUAUGAUAUAUGGAAAAAUUAAAAGAGAAUAAAAUUGAAAAAUAAAUUUAAUUUUAUAAAUUAUUUUAAAUAAAAUCAAUAGUAAUCAAAAUAAUAAGGAUAAGAUUUGAAUGAAAAAAUUAAAGAGUUGUUUGAGAAAUUACAGGAGUGGACAUGAAAAUCGGCAGGGAGAGAAAAAGAAAAGGAAAAAAGAUCAUCGACGUUAAUUUUAUGGUUCGUUGAUUACACGUGUUGUUCUAAAAUAGAGAGGUUAUCGAUAAAAUUCGAACAUUGGCCUAGAAUCAACUAUUUGGCUUCUGGACUAGCCCUUACAUGUCCACUUUGAAAACAAUAUCUACCACUUUUAAACAAGCACUUAGUUAUCUGACUAAAAGUUGGUUUUCAUGCAGCUGAAGCAGAGAGUGAGGAAGCGACAAGAAGGUUUGAGACAAUUGUGAGACUGAUGAACGAAGAAAUUGUGCGCUUUCAAGAACAGAAAACAUUGGAUAUGGGGAUUGCUUUCCAUGAAUUUGCAAAAGGACAGGCACGUUUGGCAAAUAGCAUUGCAGAUGCUUGGAGAAGUCUUCUUCCAAAACUCGAAGCAUGUUCCUCGUAAUGAGAGUAUUUUUCUUCCUUCUUAGGAAUGAUGGGCCCAGCUCUUGCUUUGUAAAAACCAUAGGGUUUGGGAAGUUCUGCUAUUCUGGUGUUGUACAAUUUGACUCCUUUGCAAAUUUUUGUUUCUUGUACAAAUUUGAAGCCUUGUGAAGAACAACAAGAGCGAAACACGAAAAAUGUUCGUCUGUCUCAUACUUUAGAUCCUCUCUUCCAUUAAGAUCUUCACAUCUCCAAAAUAUUUUUACAUUAUUAUGCAAAUCAAUCAUAUUUUUUGUUUGCGGUGGUUUUUCCAAAGAACCGUAUUAGACUGUUGUCCUAGUUUUGGAUGUUCCCACCUGCACGAGAUUGGACAGAAAGGAUUAAGAAAGAAAGACGGGUGUUUAUGUUCAAAGAUGUUAUUUAGUGAUUUCCAGGCAUGAUUUCGGCAGAUUGAUUCCCCGAUGAUCUGGAGGCGGGAAUUCUCCUGCUGCCUGGAUAAACUCUGAUUUUUCUUUAAAAAAGAAAUAAAGAUCAUGCAAUUACAAGUCAUCCUGUAUCAUUCCAGUGUUCUGAUCAUGUUCAUGCAUUCGCCAUCUUCAAAUGUGAAGCUUUUUUGUAAGUUGGAGUGAGAUCUCCAUCAACAUUCGAAUUUUCAACUUCCAAACAAAGGGGAAGAUAAAAUACUACAGAUUUGGUUCAAGCGUAAAACAAGGGCUAGCUAUAUUUAUCAAGAAAACAAUAAAUUCCAAAGGCAAUGACAAAGACAAGGACAAAGGUAAUCUCAAAAUGGUAAGACCCUAAUAACUUAAAGAUCCGCGCAUAAACCUCUUUUAUCUUAGGAUACCAAAGAGAUUGAAAGUCUUCAAACAAACUUUAUAAGAUUAACAAGAAAUUCACUGUCAAAGAACAUGACAGCUCACUCUUCAUC
RNAcentral lists this long non-coding RNA (4237 nucleotides) under Populus tremula. RNAcentral's name for it is "long non-coding RNA (PTRE_LNC001207)". Lineage: Eukaryota; Viridiplantae; Streptophyta; Magnoliopsida; Malpighiales; Salicaceae. The record is from RNAcentral.